Molecule: ribosomal RNA, 504 nt
Filed under: uncultured bacterium
Lineage: Bacteria
Description: partial 16S ribosomal RNA
Rfam family: Bacterial small subunit ribosomal RNA
Source: RNAcentral
GACGAACGCUGGCGGCGUGCCUAAUACAUGCAAGUAGAACGCACAGUUUAUACCGUAGCUUGCUACACCAUAAACUGUGAGUUGCGAACGGGUGAGUAACGCGUAGGUAACCUGCCUGGUAGCGUGGGAUAACUAUUGGAAACGAUAGCUAAUACCGCAUAAUAUUGAUUAUUGCAUGAUAAUUGAUUGAAAGAUGCUAUUGCAUCACUACCAGAUGGACCUGCGUUGUAUUAGCUAGUAGGUGAGGUAACGGCUCACCUAGGCGACGAGACAUAGCCGAACGCAUAGGGUGAUCGGCGACCCUGGAGCUGAGCCGCGGACCAGGCGCCUACGGGAGGCACCAGUAGGGAACGUGCGGCAGAGGACGAGAGUCUUGCCGAGCGGCCGCGCGCGAGAGGAGAAGGUUUUCGGAUCGUAAAGCUGGGUUGUAAGUGGAGAACGGGUGUGAGAGUGGAAAGUUCACGCUGUGACGGUAUCGUACCAGAAAGGGACGGCUAACUACGU